Long non-coding RNA from Perca fluviatilis (European perch), 951 nucleotides. RefSeq lists it as uncharacterized. Lineage: Eukaryota; Metazoa; Chordata; Actinopteri; Perciformes; Percidae. The transcript is spliced from 2 exons. The record is from RefSeq and is a predicted model, not a curated record.
CUAUACCCGAAUAAUGCAACACUCAUAGAGCUUCAGCAACCAAACACGGACCCGGACAACAAAAUACUACAACUGAAAGUACAGCCUUUAGUCUCAGUAAAAUCCCUACACGUACAGCCGGGAUGUACUGACUGAGGGAGUCUAUACGUUUGAGGCUUCAGAGCCUAUAUAAAACUCUAAAAUUGCAUAUAAAGUCUGGAUAACAUCUUAAAUACACAAAAUUCAGCCUCUUCCAAGAUUUCAGAGCAGGAAGAGUUAUUCAGUUGACAAUGCUUAGGGACACAAAAUAAGCCUCUGCAGUCUCUUUGCACCCUUUUAUGCAAAUGACGAAAGCAGGACCAAAAGAAGGGGCGUUGGGGAUAUGUGGAAGGUAGAGGGGGAGCCCUUAUCUCUUACCGAAGAAAUAAUAAGGAGAUAAGCAGCAUACAGCCAAAAAUCAAAGAACUCCCCCCCUUCUUACAGAAAGUCCUUACAAAAGGACAAUAGCAGAGAAAGAGGCGUCACCAGCUCAGCCAGACGCUGUCUGCUGCUGCGAGCCUUUUCAGAGAGCGGGGCACAGGAAGGUUGCACGAACACAGGGGACACUCGGGGAUUUUAGCAGGAGCCGCGUUACGACCACGCUGCACCUCCGCCGGGCUGCAGGUCCAGGACGGACAAAUCAACACCACUAACAAAGUUCUGGUCUCCCUCCCCUUCUAGCCCAGUUUGAUGUUUCCUGCAAACAUGGUGAUCAGCAGUAUGAUGGUGAAGCCGGUGAGCAGCCCUGCGUUCUGGAUCAGGAAGAAGAUGAUCUUGGUGGAAGUGCGCCUCUGUUCCCGUAAUAUGUUGUCCAUCUCUGGAAACUGAGAUGAAGAAAGACAAUCAGAUAUCAAAAAAUACAAUGGCCUCAUUGUUCAACACUCUACAUAAUGGGAAGUUACAACAUAUAAACAAGAAGUGGGAAUCAGUUGA